This 868-nucleotide ribosomal RNA is filed under the name Pyrenochaeta pinicola. RNAcentral's name for it is "eukaryotic LSU rRNA". It matches the Rfam family "Eukaryotic large subunit ribosomal RNA", at positions 82 to 968 of the family's 3401-position model. Lineage: Eukaryota; Fungi; Ascomycota; Dothideomycetes; Pleosporales; Cucurbitariaceae. The record is from RNAcentral.
AGUAACGGCGAGUGAAGCGGCAACAGCUCAAAUUUGAAAUCUGGCUCUUUCAGAGUCCGAGUUGUAAUUUGCAGAGGGCGCUUUGGCGUUGGCAGCGGUCCAAGUUCCUUGGAACAGGACGUCACAGAGGGUGAGAAUCCCGUACGUGGUCGCUGGCCUUCGCCGUGUAAAGCCCCUUCGACGAGUCGAGUUGUUUGGGAAUGCAGCUCUAAAUGGGAGGUAAAUUUCUUCUAAAGCUAAAUACUGGCCAGAGACCGAUAGCGCACAAGUAGAGUGAUCGAAAGAUGAAAAGCACUUUGGAAAGAGAGUCAAAUAGCACGUGAAAUUGUUGAAAGGGAAGCGCUUGCAGCCAGACUUGCCUGUAGUUGCUCAUCCGGGCUUUUGCCCGGUGCACUCUUCUGUAGGCAGGCCAGCAUCAGUUUGGACGGUUGGAUAAAGGACUCUGUCACGUACCUCCUUUCGGGGAGGCCUUAUAGGGGAGUCGUCAUGCAACCAGUCUGGACUGAGGUCCGCGCAUCUGCUAGGAUGCUGGCGUAAUGGCUGUAAGCGGCCCGUCUUGAAACACGGACCAAGGAGUCUAACAUCUAUGCGAGUGUUUGGGUGUCAAGCCCGAGCGCGUAAUGAAAGUGAACGGAGGUGGGAUCCCGUAAGGGUGCACCAUCGACCGAUCCUGAUGUCUUCGGAUGGAUUUGAGUAAGAGCAUGGCUGUUGGGACCCGAAAGAUGGUGAACUAUGCUUGAAUAGGGUGAAGCCAGAGGAAACUCUGGUGGAGGCUCGCAGCGGUUCUGACGUGCAAAUCGAUCGUCAAAUUUGGGCAUAGGGGCGAAAGACUAAUCGAACUAUCUAGUAGCUGGUUCCUGCCGAAGUU